Papaver somniferum (opium poppy) is the source of this 246-nucleotide long non-coding RNA. RefSeq lists it as uncharacterized. The record is from RefSeq and is a predicted model, not a curated record. The transcript is spliced from 3 exons. NCBI's taxonomy places the organism in Eukaryota, Viridiplantae, Streptophyta, Magnoliopsida, Ranunculales, Papaveraceae.
UCACUUCAAUCUUUGCUCCUAAACCCAAACCCCUUUCUCAUUUUCUCAAUCUUCUCCUAAAAGCCCAAAUUUAAACCGAAAGAUAACAACAACGAUUUGUUUGUAAUUAAACAAACCCCUUACAUCGCCUUGUACCAAGAAAUAAAACUGGUCGAUCUGAAUCGAUUCAGUAUGCUGAGGGUCUUACCAAGGUUGAUGGAAAAUCUGAUCACAUGGAUAAACAGUCAUAGAAGAAACAAAAGGGGU